GCUCUAUACCCUUUGUGACAUACCUAUAACUGUUGCUUCGGCGGGUAGGGUCUCCGCGACCCUCCCGGCCUCCCGCCUCCGGGCGGGUCGGCGCCCGCCGGAGGAUAACCAAACUCUGAUUUAACGACGUUUCUUCUGAGUGGUACAAGCAAAUAAUCAAAACUUUUAACAACGGAUCUCUUGGUUCUGGCAUCGAUGAAGAACGCAGCGAAAUGCGAUAAGUAAUGUGAAUUGCAGAAUUCAGUGAAUCAUCGAAUCUUUGAACGCACAUUGCGCCCGCCAGCAUUCUGGCGGGCAUGCCUGUUCGAGCGUCAUUUCAACCCUCAAGCUCUGCUUGGUGUUGGGGCCCUACAGCUGAUGUAGGCCCUCAAAGGUAGUGGCGGACCCUCCCGGAGCCUCCUUUGCGUAGUAACUUUACGUCUCGCACUGGGAUCCGGAGGGACUCUUGCCGUAAAACCCCCCAAUUUUCCAAAGGUUGACCUCGGAUCAGGUAGGAAUACCCGCUGAACUUAAGCAUAUC
This 520-nucleotide ribosomal RNA is filed under the name Colletotrichum gloeosporioides. Its description in RNAcentral is "eukaryotic LSU rRNA". The stretch from base 161 to 314 matches the Rfam family "5.8S ribosomal RNA". Lineage: Eukaryota; Fungi; Ascomycota; Sordariomycetes; Glomerellales; Glomerellaceae. The record is from RNAcentral.